UGAAUUUUGGGAUGAGGCCCUGAAAUGCAUGCUGGGCACAGUGCCUGAAUCAGACUGGAAAUAUGAAUUUA
Small nucleolar RNA from Callithrix jacchus (white-tufted-ear marmoset), 71 nucleotides. NCBI's taxonomy places the organism in Eukaryota, Metazoa, Chordata, Mammalia, Primates, Cebidae. The record is from Ensembl.